GUCUACCGACUUACCAGCCUGAAUGCACCCAGUCUCGAAGGUAAGCAGGUUGGGACCUGGUUAGUACUGGAUGGGAGUCCAAAGAGGGCUUUUGAGACU
RNAcentral lists this ribosomal RNA (99 nucleotides) under Nomascus leucogenys (northern white-cheeked gibbon). Lineage: Eukaryota; Metazoa; Chordata; Mammalia; Primates; Hylobatidae. The record is from RNAcentral.